GGUUAAGCGACUAAGCGUACACGGUGGAUGCCCUGGCAGUCAGAGGCGAUGAAGGACGUGCUAAUCUGCGAUAAGCGUCGGUAAGGUGAUAUGAACCGUUAUAACCGGCGAUUUCCGAAUGGGGAAACCCAGUGUGAUUCGUCACACUAUCAUUAACUGAAUCCAUAGGUUAAUGAGGCGAACCGGGGGAACUGAAACAUCUAAGUACCCCGAGGAAAAGAAAUCAACCGAGAUUCCCCCAGUAGCGGCGAGCGAACGGGGAGCAGCCCAGAGCCUGAAUCAGUGUGUGUGUUAGUGGAAGCGUCUGGAAAGGCGUGCGAUACAGGGUGACAGCCCCGUACACAAAAAUGCACAUGCUGUGAGCUCGAUGAGUAGGGCGGGACACGUGGUAUCCUGUCUGAAUAUGGGGGGACCAUCCUCCAAGGCUAAAUACUCCUGACUGACCGAUAGUGAACCAGUACCGUGAGGGAAAGGCGAAAAGAACCCCGGCGAGGGGAGUGAAAAAGAACCUGAAACCGUGUACGUACAAGCAGUGGGAGCACAGAGCAAUCUGUGUGACUGCGUACCUUUUGUAUAAUGGGUCAGCGACUUAUAUUCUGUAGCAAGGUUAACCGAAUAGGGGAGCCGAAGGGAAACCGAGUCUUAACUGGGCGUUAAGUUGCAGGGUAUAGACCCGAAACCCGGUGAUCUAGCCAUGGGCAGGUUGAAGGUUGGGUAACACUAACUGGAGGACCGAACCGACUAAUGUUGAAAAAUUAGCGGAUGACUUGUGGCUGGGGGUGAAAGGCCAAUCAAACCGGGAGAUAGCUGGUUCUCCCCGAAAGCUAUUUAGGUAGCGCCUCGUGAAUUCAUCUCCGGGGGUAGAGCACUGUUUCGGCAAGGGGGUCAUCCCGACUUACCAACCCGAUGCAAACUGCGAAUACCGGAGAAUGUUAUCACGGGAGACACACGGCGGGUGCUAACGUCCGUCGUGAAGAGGGAAACAACCCAGACCGCCAGCUAAGGUCCCAAAGUCAUGGUUAAGUGGGAAACGAUGUGGGAAGGCCCAGACAGCCAGGAUGUUGGCUUAGAAGCAGCCAUCAUUUAAAGAAAGCGUAAUAGCUCACUGGUCGAGUCGGCCUGCGCGGAAGAUGUAACGGGGCUAAACCAUGCACCGAAGCUGCGGCAGCGACACUAUGUGUUGUUGGGUAGGGGAGCGUUCUGUAAGCCUGUGAAGGUGUACUGUGAGGUAUGCUGGAGGUAUCAGAAGUGCGAAUGCUGACAUAAGUAACGAUAAAGCGGGUGAAAAGCCCGCUCGCCGGAAGACCAAGGGUUCCUGUCCAACGUUAAUCGGGGCAGGGUGAGUCGACCCCUAAGGCGAGGCCGAAAGGCGUAGUCGAUGGGAAACAGGUUAAUAUUCCUGUACUUGGUGUUACUGCGAAGGGGGGACGGAGAAGGCUAUGUUGGCCGGGCGACGGUUGUCCCGGUUUAAGCGUGUAGGCUGGUUUUCCAGGCAAAUCCGGAAAAUCAAGGCUGAGGCGUGAUGACGAGGCACUACGGUGCUGAAGCAACAAAUGCCCUGCUUCCAGGAAAAGCCUCUAAGCAUCAGGUAACAUCAAAUCGUACCCCAAACCGACACAGGUGGUCAGGUAGAGAAUACCAAGGCGCUUGAGAGAACUCGGGUGAAGGAACUAGGCAAAAUGGUGCCGUAACUUCGGGAGAAGGCACGCUGAUAUGUAGGUGAAGUCCCUCGCGGAUGGAGCUGAAAUCAGUCGAAGAUACCAGCUGGCUGCAACUGUUUAUUAAAAACACAGCACUGUGCAAACACGAAAGUGGACGUAUACGGUGUGACGCCUGCCCGGUGCCGGAAGGUUAAUUGAUGGGGUUAGCGCAAGCGAAGCUCUUGAUCGAAGCCCCGGUAAACGGCGGCCGUAACUAUAACGGUCCUAAGGUAGCGAAAUUCCUUGUCGGGUAAGUUCCGACCUGCACGAAUGGCGUAAUGAUGGCCAGGCUGUCUCCACCCGAGACUCAGUGAAAUUGAACUCGCUGUGAAGAUGCAGUGUACCCGCGGCAAGACGGAAAGACCCCGUGAACCUUUACUAUAGCUUGACACUGAACAUUGAGCCUUGAUGUGUAGGAUAGGUGGGAGGCUUUGAAGUGUGGACGCCAGUCUGCAUGGAGCCGACCUUGAAAUACCACCCUUUAAUGUUUGAUGUUCUAACGUUGACCCGUAAUCCGGGUUGCGGACAGUGUCUGGUGGGUAGUUUGACUGGGGCGGUCUCCUCCUAAAGAGUAACGGAGGAGCACGAAGGUUGGCUAAUCCUGGUCGGACAUCAGGAGGUUAGUGCAAUGGCAUAAGCCAGCUUGACUGCGAGCGUGACGGCGCGAGCAGGUGCGAAAGCAGGUCAUAGUGAUCCGGUGGUUCUGAAUGGAAGGGCCAUCGCUCAACGGAUAAAAGGUACUCCGGGGAUAACAGGCUGAUACCGCCCAAGAGUUCAUAUCGACGGCGGUGUUUGGCACCUCGAUGUCGGCUCAUCACAUCCUGGGGCUGAAGUAGGUCCCAAGGGUAUGGCUGUUCGCCAUUUAAAGUGGUACGCGAGCUGGGUUUAGAACGUCGUGAGACAGUUCGGUCCCUAUCUGCCGUGGGCGCUGGAGAACUGAGGGGGGCUGCUCCUAGUACGAGAGGACCGGAGUGGACGCAUCACUGGUGUUCGGGUUGUCAUGCCAAUGGCACUGCCCGGUAGCUAAAUGCGGAAGAGAUAAGUGCUGAAAGCAUCUAAGCACGAAACUUGCCCCGAGAUGAGUUCUCCCUGACUCCUUGAGAGUCCUGAAGGAACGUUGAAGACGACGACGUUGAUAGGCCGGGUGUGUAAGCGCAGCGAUGCGUUGAGCUAACCGGUACUAAUGAACCGUGAGGCUUAACCUU
This 2905-nucleotide ribosomal RNA is filed under the name Escherichia coli. RNAcentral's name for it is "23S ribosomal RNA". It matches the Rfam family "Bacterial large subunit ribosomal RNA". The record is from RNAcentral. Lineage: Bacteria; Pseudomonadati; Pseudomonadota; Gammaproteobacteria; Enterobacterales; Enterobacteriaceae.